Long non-coding RNA from Mesocricetus auratus (golden hamster), 600 nucleotides. RefSeq lists it as uncharacterized. The transcript has 3 exons. The record is from RefSeq and is a predicted model, not a curated record. NCBI's taxonomy places the organism in Eukaryota, Metazoa, Chordata, Mammalia, Rodentia, Cricetidae.
GACAUCUAAAGUUGGCAGGCCUGGAUUUAGAAAGCAGUGGGAUAAAAGAACAUGCUUCAGGGAGAAAAAUGCCAAGAAAAGAAGUUUAUUAGGUAUUUUAACGCAGCACGUAAGAAACGCAAUUGAUACAUAGGCGCAAGGCUCGCAAAGGAAACCACAAAGACUAGAAAAAUAGGGCCUGCCCUUUUGUACCUAUGUUUGACCAGCACCAUCACCGCCGUGCAGACGCUUUGUGCCACUCCUGGGCCCUGUGGACACCAGCUCAGCAUGAGUGGAGAGUGGGGGCAAAAUCACAGGGUGGCAAGUGGAGUGGAGCUUCCCACAUCACUUCUGCUAACAUGUCAACAGUCCCAAGCACUACCUGAACCAUGGAGAAGUCGGCAAGUGAAGCCUAGCCAUAUGGCCGGUGGGAAGAGGGUAUGGGAUAGUUGAGUCUCUGCUGUCUGCUCCCUCAGCUGAGCCUGAGACAGACUUUGUGUUAUACUUCUCUGACUCCCCACCCCCACCCCAGAGGCUAUAAAGGUCUCCAACACGGGUAGUUGAAUAACAUCUGCCUUUAGUCCCGAUCCUGUCUCCAGACGAGCGGAUACAUGAAUAUUA